RNAcentral lists this ribosomal RNA (225 nucleotides) under Triticum aestivum (bread wheat). RNAcentral describes it as "partial small subunit ribosomal RNA". The record is from RNAcentral. Lineage: Eukaryota; Viridiplantae; Streptophyta; Magnoliopsida; Poales; Poaceae.
AUGUUGAUGCAAGACUACUUCGUCGACAGUCCUACCUAUCCGCCGCACCUCUUCCGGAGAAGGUAUCGAAUGCGCCGAUCUCUCUUUGUAAAAAUUGUGCAAGCUUGCGAGGCCAAUUCUCGGUUUUUUACUCAAAGGAGAAACGCCGCGGGCUUGUUGGGUUUUAGUGCAUAUCAAAAAAAUCUCCACAGCUAUGUGGGUGAUUGCAUAUGGCAUUCCGGUUGA